CCUACGGGAGGCAGCAGUGAGGAAUAUUGGUCAAUGGCCGGAAGGCUGAACCAGCCAUGCCGCGUGAAGGUCAGUGCCCUAUGGGCGUUAAACUUCUUUUGUGCGGGAGCAAUAAUGGUCACGUGUGGCCAGACGAGAGUACCGUACGAAUAAGCAUCGGCUAACUCCGUGCCAGCAGCCGCGGUAAUACGGGGGAUGCAAGCGUUAUCCGGAUUUAUUGGGGUUAAAGGGUGCGUAGGCUGUGAGGUAAGUCAGCGGUGAAAUGCCCCCGCACAGCGGGGUGAAGUGCCAUUGAUACUGCCUUGCUGGAAUGCGGAUGCCGUGGGAGGAAUGUGUGGUGUAGCGGUGAAAUGCAUAGAUAUCACACAGAACACCGAUUGCGAAGGCAUCUCACGAAUCCGCGAUUGACGCUGAUGCACGAAAGCGUGGGUAUCAAACAGGAUUAGAUACCCCUGUAGUC
This 460-nucleotide ribosomal RNA is filed under the name uncultured bacterium. RNAcentral describes it as "partial 16S ribosomal RNA". It matches the Rfam family "Bacterial small subunit ribosomal RNA", at positions 338 to 795 of the family's 1533-position model. The record is from RNAcentral.